GCUUUCAUAGCUAAGUUGGUUAGAGCACCCGUUUAGUAAGCAGGAGGUCUUGAGUUCGUCUCUCAAUGAAAGCA
This is a non-coding RNA of Capsicum annuum, 74 nucleotides long. The record is from Rfam. Lineage: Eukaryota; Viridiplantae; Streptophyta; Magnoliopsida; Solanales; Solanaceae.